AAUACUUUUAAUGAAAAAAACCUUCAACUUUAGCCAGAUCCAUUUUUAAACCCUAAACUAUGUUUUUAGUAAAACAAACCCUGAACUAAAACCUGUUACUAAACUUAACCCCACAGUAAUUAAAUAUUAAUGAGAUAUUAAUUUCCAAAAAAAACAACAACGAGACAUUUGUAUUUAGCGCAAAAACCACAUGAUGUUCUUUAAAACUGUUUUGAAUUUAUUACAAAAAACGUUUUAAAUUAUUUUGAAUUGCUUAAUUAGUUUGGAUUUUAGAAGCUGAAAGAAAGACACAACAAUUUAAAUAAUCCAAAGAAUCAUGCUUAAAUAAAUCCAACCAACAUAACUAUCGAAGCUGUUGCAACACAACAAUAUUUGUCACACAAAAAAACAAUCGUUUCAGAGGGACAAGAUAUUCUAAAGUAAAGACUUGUCAAGCAUUAACUUUGAAGAGAAGAUUGUAUUGGCUGAGUGAUAGGGUUCUCUUCAUCCAUUGUUUUCUGUUUUUUCCUUGGUCGUCCUUGAGGUUUCUUGGGUGGUUUUGGCACUGCUUUACGCUUGCAUGAACGUUUGUUGUGUCCGACUUGUUGACAGUUGCUGCAAGUCUAAAUAUGCAAAGAUUAAAUUAAAUAAUCUGAAAAGGAAGAUCUUGUGAAACAUAAUUUAUUGUUCUCUAUUUUACCAUUUGAAUUUUUUCACGUGUAUAAGGAACUUUUUGAGGUGGACGAUCUUCAGUUGGAUCACGGAUUCUGUCAUUGUUCUUUGGUCGAUUUUUGGAAAUUAAUAUCCCAUUAAUAUUUAAUUACUGUAGGGUUAAGUUUAUUAACAGGUUUUAGUUCAGGGUUUGUUUUACUAAAAACAUAGUUCAGGGUUUAAAAAUGGAUCUGGCCAAAGUUGAGGGUUUUUUUCAUUAAAUUCCGUACUUUUAAUUAAGGUAUCUAAUAUCAUCUCCGCUAUUAAGUAUUUUAGGAUUUGAUUACAAAACUCUUGAUGUUAAACUA
RNAcentral lists this small RNA (998 nucleotides) under Arabidopsis thaliana (thale cress). RNAcentral's name for it is "ATSL015470". Lineage: Eukaryota; Viridiplantae; Streptophyta; Magnoliopsida; Brassicales; Brassicaceae. The record is from RNAcentral.